This 250-nucleotide long non-coding RNA is filed under the name Physcomitrium patens. RNAcentral describes it as "long non-coding RNA (PPAT_LNC004590)". Lineage: Eukaryota; Viridiplantae; Streptophyta; Bryopsida; Funariales; Funariaceae. The record is from RNAcentral.
UUGUGAAAUAAAAUAGGGUUGAUGUUUUGAGCGAUUUCAAGAGUUUUUUAAUAGAUCUACAUGUGAAAAUUUAUGGAUUAAUGGUUAUAGUUGUACUUAGUAUGUAUUUUGAAUUUUAGCUAGAUCUAAUAGUUGAAUUGAAGGUUAUUAAGGUUUAAGUGGGUCAAGGUCUCAAAAAGUAGAAUUUUAGGUCUAGUGAGGGUUUUAAAAUUUCUUACAAUCUAUUGGUUGGAUUGGAGUAGAAGUUAUG